CGCCGCUGACGUGAGCAGUCCCGGAGUCGUGCGCACUCCGGCCGAGCGCGGAGACUGGCUGGGGCCGGUGUGGGAGCAGACACAAAUUUUCCCUGGAGCGGUCGCCGGCGGUCUUGGCCGAGUUGUGGUGGCCAGGCGGGGUCGCGAGUGGAGGCAGGGAGCCAGGCCACUGUGCGGCUGGGACAUGUGGAUGACAGAGGUGAGCUCCUGCUGCAGGGGACAACAACCCCGAAGUGGCGGAACGAGCAUUCCCAAAGCGCUGCGCUCUGCUGACCAGGUCUUGUCUUGAGCCUUCUUCCCCACAAUCUGCUGAAAGAACUAAAAAUGGAAAAAAAUAAAAGAGAGCAAAAAGGAAACAGGAAAACCUCAUAGGAGCGCUAAAGAGGAGGAGAAGGUACCACUGACAUACGAGAAAUGUGGAACUUGGGGAACAUGUGAAACAGAACGAACCAGACUAAGCAAAACCAGUCAGACUUGAAUAGCAGGUGAAUUCGAGCCUCUUGAGAAAUUCCACAUAUAACAGAAGAAAGAAUGAAAAUAAAUUAACCCUGUCUGUCUUUGUCACCUAGUGGUCAUGUGGAGUGCUGUGUUAAGAGGGAGUCUGAAGAGUCUACAGUUGUCCCUUGAAUAACAUGGGUUUGAACUACGUGGGUCCAGUUAUUCAUGGACUUUUCUCAAUAAAUAUAUAAAAAAUAUGUGCAGAACAUCAUGUGCAAGAUUUGUAUUGAAGUGGAUAGCCCAUCCUUACACGGACAUAGGGCUCUCAGACGGAGGAUGUGGCAGUUGGUACUGACUGACCGAGACUAUGGUCCUGAGCCUGGAUCUCCUGCUCAUUCUCAUCCAGGACAGUGAUGACAGCCACAGAAUGCUGCGUGUGAAUCAUCGCUCGCCUUGCAUAGACAGUGAAAAGCUCCUGAGAGGACGUGCACAUGAAAAUGUCCCCCUUUACGCAGAAUCCGCCUGAUCUGGGACAGCUAUAGAGUCAGUGGAGCAGCCCCAGGAGUACCAGGGAGAAUGUCUCCGUUUCACUUCUCUUUUCAUGAGCAAAGUUGUUCUACACAGUGUGUCGCUUCAGAGCUCAGGAUGAAAGAGGUUGAACAUGUUGAGGUCGUUUCUUUUUUUCCUGGUAGAAACCAUACCCAACUAUCAAAUCACACACCAGUCAGUCCACAGGAAGAAGGUCUGGAUGUCUCCAAAACCAGUGUCAUCUGACAGCAGAAGGAGGAUGCUGUGGGUGUCUGUGAUCACAGAAGACUUAAAGUCCCCAUGCUGUUGCCGCAGGAGCCCUAUCACCACUGCCUGUUACAUCCUACGCAGAGGCCGUAUUCUGAGCUCUUCGAGAGUGAAAUUCCGGAGAUGUACUGGGAUUCCAAACGGAAGGGGCUUUUCUCUGGAGCCUCAGGAAGAAGCACGUGCGGGCGCUGCUGUUUGACAGCUCUCCUCGGCCACGGUGCCUUUCCUGUCCUGAUGUGAUUUUGCAAGAGGCACUGCUCACAGCUACUUGUGGAGACCACUUGUGGAGUCUUUAAAGAUGGGAAAAGAAUAAGUUUGUCAAGCUGACAUGAAACACAUGUGAAAAGACAAGGAGACAAGCAAUGAUUAUAGAAAAGUCAACCUGAGCAUCACGCUGAGCUUAAGGAGCCAAGCUGUGCCGCCGCCUCAGCGCAGCUGGGAUGUCUGCUCCCGACAGUCAGCUCUGCAGUCACAAGGCACCGGGUUUCCCGUCUCGCAGGGAUCGCUGCUCUUCGCUGUCUGAUGUCCCGAGAGCCCGAGAAUGACACAGACUCAAUCAAUUUCCCAUGGAGAAAAAUAAAGUUCUGAGACCAGAAUCAAAGAGGUAGUCAUUGCUUCGGAUCUGUCACUGCUUCUGGAACGGCUCAGUGAGCAGUUAACAGACUGACAGGAGAAUCUGUAGCAGGCGUCAGUGCUUCUGUGUGUCCGUAGCAACGAGAAACUGUGAUGGACCACGGCCUCCCUGGAGCCUUCUGCAUAUUCUCAUCUGUGAUGAGGUUAAGUUGAUGCUGGAGAUUAAUGAAUCUGAAGACAGAAGGAAGCAGCAUUCACCACGGGAAAGCAUGCUCUACGCUAAAACAGAGCAGGAUAAACUGAAAAAUAUGGCUUCCACCCACAUUCAAAAAGCAGACCAAGAAUUUACUGCUUUGCCUGGCCGGGCUCAGGAUCAGAAACAGAAGCUGCUCCAGAGACGUAAAGUGGAAGUGAGUUAAGGCAGCAAUGAGGUCCUUACAAUCAGCGGAUGGAAGGGCCACAGACGUAGGUUCUGGGGUGGACCUUCUGGGACAACCGCCAAAGCGUCCCAGACCCGACUCACCAGGAGCUCCCACCUCUGAGGUAAUCCCUGCUGUAAUGCCACAAGUCUCACGACACUGAAAAAUCCGGAAAAUGGACAGACCCCACUCCAGAAAACCUCCUAGUUCUAACACCAUGCUUGCCAGCAGAGACGGCCAAGCACUGAAGGAACAUAGUCUCUUGCUCACGUCCAGCUUCUGCCUCUGAUUGACAGAACACAGUUCAUGCCCGGAGCCCCUGCGGCAGGGACUCGGGGAAAGGAGAUGUUUGGCUUCCCAGCGCAGUGGACCGGGAAAGGCUGCGAGUGGAUGUGGGGCUGUGGACCACAUCCUACAGAACGUGUUGUCCUGUUCAGUCUCCGCAGAGAUACAUAUUUUUGUUUCUCCACUUUGUCGAUGCAGAAUAGAGGUGAAAUAAUAUGCUGGCAGGUCAGGGUGGGAAGCUAUGGCUCUUUUAUUCCAGAGCACAGCACACCCCACUAUCCUGAUGUCAUGAAUUCUGUGUUAGAAAAAGUGUGGAAACAGCCUUCACUACAAACACUUUUUCUUCCUACUUGUAUCAGGAUGAGAGGUGGAUUCAAGGAGAAAUGAAGGAAGAUGGUGCCUUCCUGUUGUCUCCUGGGGGGGUUGGCUUCCAAGGCUUGGGGGGAAAAAAGAUGUAAAAUCAAAACGCAGCCCUCCUGCUGUGUUCUUGCAGGAAAAACAGACAUGUUCACUGACACGAGUUUGCUGGGCAAAGGGAGCCCAUGGCGUUGCUGGCGCUGAAACGUGGAUGUGGCUGGCAUUUUAGGAGGACUCGAGGUGGGCUAUUUGCUCAGAGCAGAAGAGCAUGGUGUGGUGUGGAGGGAGGAGGCGGAGGGGUAGGUGCUGUUCCUGUCUGUCCAGGCCCCCCCUCCAUGUGUUCACCAGACGUGAUUCUCCGGCUUCAGAGCUGGACAUGGAUCCACAUCAGGCCAGUCUGACGUCUCAGCUCAGGAAUGAGACCCUUGACAAAGGACCUGAAGGGACUGAAGAUAGACCUGAAGCAUUUCGUGGCAGCCUUUGAGUGCUCACCUAGUUGGUCACUGAUCAUUCAUCACGUGAGUCAUCAGCCUGACAUGGAUAGCACUGCGAUCUCUCCACGGAAACUGAAGACAGGAGUUACGAUGGUUCACGAGGAAGCCAUGGAAGGUUUUUAAUAAGCAGGAUGUGGAGUGAGUCCAUUGGAUUUGCAUUUUUAAAAGUCAUUCGUGUGCUCUCGGGAGUAUUGACUGGAGAGAGGCAAGAAGAAGGAAGAAAGAGAUCAGCUGGGAAGCUAUUGCUAGAACAGACCAGGCGAGAGAAGAUGCUGGCUUGAACUGAGAAGGUGGAAAUGGAGGUGCGGAGAAGUGGACAGGUUCAAGUCUAGGAAACAAGGUCUCAGCGCCUGAGUCUGGCAUUCUGGGCAUCCUUUAUUGUCUUCACCUACAGCCUCACGUGGAACUCUCUACUUUACAUGCUUUAUGAUCCCUCUGGGUACAGGCUGACUUUUAUCCAGCUUCCUCUGCAAGGCGGGCCUUGUUUAUAUUCAUCGUAUUUCCUUGUCCAACCAUCGGGGAAAGACCACGGUCAGAGUUUAUCCAUUCACCUACCAAAGGACUUCCUGGCUUCUACGUUUUGGUAGUUACAAACCAAGAUGUCAUAAACAUCCAUGUGCAGGGGACGUAAGUUUUGAACUCCUGUGGAUUGACCUACCCUGUGACUGAGUUUUGCAAUGAAACCUUAUCAGGUUGUUAUCCACCAUGGCAGCUGGGCACCUUAACAUUAGAUGGAGGAAACAGAAUAUGCUACCAAAGGAUGUGCUGACUGGAUAAAAAGACACUGUGAUGCUGAGAGCUGGCUUUGAAGUUAAGAAAACUUUGGAUACAGCUUUACUUCCAACAGGUCACAGAGCUGUUGGAGGAGGCUGUCAAAAAGACAUGACCUCUACUGACCUGCCAGCUGGUCCCUGGCGUUGGAGGCUCCCUGACCCCCUCUCCUGUUCUUGGAACUUGUAUCUACUUGCUUUCCUGCUCCCAGAAGCUGCUCCAAGGAUACAGCCUUGAAAUAGAAACAUGGUGUUGAAGCUAUCAGGGUGAGUACGCAACUGAACUCUGUUAAGGUCUCUAUAUAAACUUUCAAGAUUCUGGCAGGUGGGUACGGAGAUCAACUCAUCUUACAGCUGCUCAAGACAAGCCUCAUGCAAAUUCCUUUGUUUAUUAAACCUUCCACCUACCAAUUUGGGGUGACCUGCCUCUUUCUUUGGUCUCUCCCUGCCCUCUGUGUACUGGGUGGUGGGAGGAGGGAGGGUGUCAUUUCGGAUUAUAUCCAGGCAGCUCCAAGGAGGUUCUGAGGCAACAAGAGUGCACGUUCUCAGAUUAACAGGACAGUGAAUCAUGCUGGUUCUUUGCCUACCAUCAUAGAGGGGUUUUUUUCAUAUUUAAAAAUUCCAUUCCAUAGUUACUGAUUUUAAUCACUAUCAUUGCCACUUUAUGAAUGCUUGAAUAAUAUUACUAGAAUUUUUUUGAAGAUUUAUAUUAUUUUAUGUUAAAAUAGUAGCCAAGUGGUAACCCUAAUCAUCUGUAGAAGUUCCUAUGUGUAUAAACAACAGCUUGGAUCACACAACACUGUAAGUUUAGAGGUGGGUAUUUCUAUGUAUCUGCAAAAGUACUGCCUACAAGGGAGGCUAAGGCUUGAGCAGACGUUACAAUCUCAUCGCUCGUGUCCAUGGGGGAUUGGUUCCAAUAGCUCCCACACAUGCCGAAAUUCUCAGAUGUUCAAGUCCCAUUGUUGACCCUCCAUAUCCAUGGAUUUCACAUCUGUGGAUUCAGCCAACCUUGGAUGGAAAUUUUGAUCUAUGGUUUGGUGAAUCCAUGGAUGCCAAGCCCAAGAAUACAGUGGGACAACUGUAUGUUUAUUUGAAAAAAACCUGCCCCUAAGUGGACCAGGACAGUACAAACCCAUGUUGUUCAAAAGUCAGCUGUAAUUCAUUUAGCGUGCCGACUUUGCCAUCUUGCCAUUAUUAACUGAACUUUACAAUCUUUUGAGGUUUCCAUUAUUUUAAAAUUUCUCAUGAAAUGGAUUAACAAUAUUAAUCUAUAGCAAUGCACAGACCUGUAUUUUCAUUUUCAAAGAGCACAACUGUACUUUAGUUACAGAUGGCUACUAUCUUAGCCAGUUACAUUUUGAAAAAGCAGAACAUUUCUCUAAAUGCUUAGGGUCAAGUACACUAAUGCCUGACAGUAUGUACUCUCAAUGGCUUGUGGCAAUUAUCUGAACCAUCUUUGCAAAUAUCAGCAUGUGAAUAAUGCUCACAUUUGGUCAUUAGCUGAGGGUGUUAUUGUCUUCGUUCACCUGCCAAAUGUGCAAUAAGGAAGGUCAUCUUUAGACAGCUAUUAAAUCUUUUCCUUAAUGUUCCGUUAUUUCCAAGUCUGCGGCCACUGUUUUAUGCCAUGUGGUUAUCUUAAUGAAAUUAUUGAAUUACAGUUAUGAGGUGUCAUGUGGCACGUCUAAUAUUUAAUGAAUGUCUGACAUGACUUGAAUGAUUUCUGUUCUUGUUGAAUUGAUCAGUCAGGUCUCCUCAGUACAAGAUGUUCUGUGUUAUUCUGUAAUAGAAGUCACAGUAAAGAAGAGCGCCCUGGACUUGGUAAGACACAUAUAAAGGAAAUGACCAGUGUCCUCUCUGCACAGUUUGGUGGUGAAAUGGUAGUGCUCGGAGCCUAUGACCACUGUAUGGGACAAAGGUUUUGUUUUGUUUCGUUUUGUUUUCAAUAAAGAGCACAUUGCCUCACACUUUUAAUUUCAAUUUAAAUGAAAUUUUGGAAUAUAAAAUUCCAUAAUUAUGAAAAUUGUGAAGCAAGUGUGGCUUACACCUUUAUGCGUGUUUGCUCAGACUCAGCAUGAGUGGGACUGAAGGAGGGUCCCCACUGGAGGGACCCUUGGUUUUUCUGGUGGGUCUGGGGAAGAGGGGAUGGAAGAGGUAUGACUAUACCUUCUUUCCCUUUCUUUCUUCUGCACAUCACCUCAGCUUUCUUUUUCCUGCCUAAUGUGGUGGUCACAGGACCAGGGCUGCAAAUCCACCUGCCGAAGACAGAGACGAUGAGUCCAAGCAAGGAGCUGUAACUGUGCCUCUAAAUUCCAAAGAGCCUGCUGAGGAGGCUUGCACCUUCGCCCAUCUGGCAAAACCGGGAUGACCGUGAAUGCAGCUGUAUUGCCUACUGGUGGAACCACCCUGCCACAUCUUGAUUUCAGACUUCUAGCCUCCCAGACCGUGAGACAAUAUGUUCCUGUUGUUUAAGCCAGCCAGCUCGUGGUACUCUGUUAUGGCAGCCCUCGCAGCCCUGGACUGAAGUUCUGAAAAAACUAAAGAGAAAUGAAAGGAAGUCAAGAAAUCAGUAAUACCACUGAAGAGGAAAAAAAUGGCCUCCAGAUUCCAUCAUUUCCUGUACGUCGCCUUUGCUUGUUUCUAUGGCAAAUGAAUGCAGAAUGGAAAUUACUCACACUCCACCAGGAACCUGGAUGCAAACCCACUUGCAGAAGGGCCUUCAGAACUCGAGCAGCACAGGAGCUGAAGCUCACUCCAAGAGGGCAGCGUUGUCCCGCCGCAGUGUUGCAUAACUGAAGCACGGAGCUAAAGGGCUGUGGCACACGGAGACUAUAUAUGGUGCAUUUGAGAGCUGAAACGAUGACUUCUUUUUAGAAGACAGCAAACAGCAGAUCGGGGAGCAGUGAAGUUUCAGUAGCUUGCUGAAGAGCUUCCCAAGAGAAAAGUCCAUCUCCUCCGAAGGAAUAGACUUUGCCAUAUUUUUAUGGAGAGCAUCUUCUCUAAGGAAGGAGUCUUGUGUUUUUUGCUAGCAUCUGUGGAGUUGUAGCAGGCUAACUUAUUAGCCUGAAAGUAGGAUAACAUCUCAGAUCCUUUCAGUAAGUGAGAACAGUAAGAGAAGAGGCAGUCGUGGAACAUGAGGCCUUACUCUACACUAACAAGAAGGAGUUUGCAAACUGACUGUGAAAGGGCAAUUCCAACAUUCGAUGAAAGGAACAGCGCCUGGGUAUUUGAGGACGCGUAGAACAUUAGACUCCCAGGCUGCGGCGCAGUUUUAAUUGGGAAGGCGAUGACUCUGCUGUUGUGGGAACAAGCAGCUGGCUGUGGCACCGUGGGAAGAUCAUGUUCCUACCAGCUCUGCCACUUACCAGCGUGUGACCUUAGUUCUAUAAACAAGUCCCUAUGCUGAAGGACCAAGUGGAUACUCAGCUCCGCACUCACUUGAGGAGGCGAUGUUGCAGCAGUUUUUCAUUUUAUGGGACAGUUACUGCUGUGCAGUUCACCGUGAAUUUCGGCUCCUCAGGGAUCCCAGGAUACACCUGCCCUUUUGUUUUUCUGAUCAUCCUCUCAGGUCCUCCAGCAAAGUUCCAGAUCAAAUGCUGCAACUUCCUUGAAGGCCUCAAAAUCUGGGAUCAGUUUCUGCUUCUUUGUACAGGAAGAUGGUGUGGAGUAGUGGGAACAUUUUAGGAUACUUUUCAAGUCUGCGCUCUAAAACGUCUGAGCUUGUGACCGGAGGAUGAGAGGAAGCCAGCUCUCUGAGAAUCUGAGGAAGAACAUUUCUGGCAAAAUACGACAAAGGCAGAGUCCCUGAUGCAGGAAAGAAUUGGUUACGUUCUGCAGAACCCCUGAGCUUGGACGGUGAGAGCAAGAAAGUUCCUGUGGUCAGGCUGGAAGAGGAGACUCAGGCCGAGUCCCGUAGGCCUGUCUCCUGUGGCGAGGGCUUCUCGCUUUUCUACUGAAAGCAACGGGAAGACACUGGAGAGCUUUGAGCAGGGAAGUGGCAUAACAACACAUCGUGAACCUAGGACAGUGCCUCCCUCAUGGCGGGAACCAGUGAGUGGCGGGUGUUGCCGAGAUCGGGGAGUGGCUGGAGCUGCCAACAUCAGCUUUUGAUUGCUAAGUGAUGAGCAGAGAUACCGUACCCAGGAGAUAAUCAGUAGUAUUAUGAUGUGACUUGGCAGUUCAGUUUAAUGGUCAGGCCGCUCAAGCCGGCUGUGCUCUUGCCCUCUGCACAUCCCCUGCACAUCCCCUGCUGGAACAGUGCCUGCUUCACCUACAGCUCUCACCUGCCUGGCCGUCCUAUGUGCCAGCCCCAGGCCCCAGCUGGUGCUUGUUCUCAUCAAACAGGCGUGAAGGGCGUGUCCCUCUGCGGGUUUCCCUGGUAACCAACGAGGCACCCUGACGUCACUUCCGAUAUAACCGCUAACCUCCCCCUGACCCCGGGGAGCGAAGCCCGGCACUACGUCCUCCGCUGCGGUCCACCACACACGCUGGGGAGUCGCUGCAGGACCUUGCUGCCGACAGAUUUUAGUUGUAACUUUACAGAGCUCUUCCCCUUUGUGCGAGCGCGUAUCUUUCCAGUUCAAGUUGUGAUGCACCAUCAGAGUUACUUUUUUUGAGCUUUUGAUUUGUCGUGAAAAUUCACGAUGUAUCUCGAGCCAAAAUCGCACUUAGUAUUGAAUGGGGUUUUGGCUGACUUCCUUCCUGUUUCCCUCAUUAAGCGAGUGCCAUCAAGACCAGCAGUCCCCACAUUCUGUGUCCGAAGAACCAGGCCAGAUGGGAACUGCGUGAAAGCUACCAGUUAUCUUGCUAAUUGCGCCAGCUAGGACCAGUUGUACUGCAUGAGAAAAUGUGGGCUCCCACAAGUGAGCUCGCCACACUCAAUUAGCGGCGUGCCGGAGAACGGGGGAUGCGCGCGAGGAGCCCGAGCGCUCGGGGAAGUGACGCUGCUGCCUUACCCGGCACUUAAUACCUAUUUUCACAUUUCUCAGUCAAUGUUGCAACAACGAACACUUUUUGCAAGGAUCGUAUAUAUCAUAUGCCUUUAACUCGAAUUUUAAUACUUUGGAAAAUCUUCAGAUAAAGAGAGCUCAGAGGUUUUUCUCCACUUUGUCACCUUCCUGGAUCUUAAGUAGAAAGAACUGACUGUAAAAGCAAGCCAUGCAUCGUUGACAUAUUUUAGAAAAGAAGAGUGCAAUGGAGAAAGGAGAAAAAAAUAAAUCAGGGGGAAAGACAAUUAGCAUAUUUAUCAUAAAUGAAGGAAACAAAACAUCGAGACUAACAAAGACUCAAGUGUUUCAUUUGUACAUCUUCUGAGAUAAAAAUAGCUUUAAACAGCAACUCACUUUACUGGCAUUUUUCGUUCCACUGUCUGACUGUCACGGAUGACGCCAAGUUUCUCCUUCUGACUGAUCUUCAGGCUGAAGGGAAUGUAACAGCACGAACAUUACAAUUAGUAUGCAAAUACCUAUCCCCUGGGUUACAAAUUGGCAUUCUUUAAUCAUGCAAUUCUUGGCUUGUUUCAUUUUGUUAACUUUUCAGUGGUCAGAUCACUUAAACUUCUAAGUAACGAAUAACUCUUUGAGUAAAGUGCGACAUUUCCUUGUGUCUGUGGCAUAACCGAAAAAAAUUCCAUUUGAAAGUUUGGUUUCUAAAGUUCAUAUGUAUCUGCUUACAGGGUAACUAUUGUUCACAUGGGGUAAAUCAACUCAGGAAAAAACAUUAGGUGAAAUUCACUAUUCACCUUUAGGUCUUUACUCUGUCUCAAAGAUCAUUGUUUUUCCUUUGUUCUUUGAUUUUUGGGAAGUCUGAGGAGGACUUUUUCAUACUCAGUUUUACUGCAUAUGUUUAAGGAUUUUUACAGUUUUAUUCAUGAACUGAAAUAUUCUAGCACAAGGCAUCAUACUUCUUUUAAAAAAACAUGUGCAUUUAUUGCAGCCUAAUAACACACAUUUCUCUAUUUAACCAUGCAGCCAAAGGCAUUUUGUGCCAGUAUUUCUUUAUGCAAUGCUAAUGUUCGAGAAAAUAAUACUUGAAUAUAUUUAUCACCAUAAAGGCCUUAUAUUGGUAUUUUUAUUUGUAGUCAAAAGUUUUGUGCAUGUACCCCCCACGCUUCGUCAAGCCCUCAUGUCAACACAACAGAGUUCUUCAGCAGUAAAAUCCUACUGGUAUAUAUUCAUGACCCUUGGUGUCAAUUAAACCCCCCGAAAGACUGACAAUUUUCUGGGUGGAAGAAAGAAAGGAGUUGGAAGACAGCAGAAAAUCUGCUUCUCCUUGAGUUAGCAUUGUAACAACCCCAUUUCACUGAUCUACAGAAAUGCCAGAGGACACUUCCUCUGCAAGUGGUCCUGGGCUAAUGAGACUCUUAGAAAUUGAAAAGAUGACCUAAAAAGUCAGUGUAUCGUUAGAAAGGGAGGCUAUCAGUUAGAUCAGUUCAUUUGGUUAAUUCAAGCACCAUUAAGUCAUGUGCUUAUGAUAUGCAAAAAUGGAGUCAUUAGACAUGUUUCGCCUUGUUUUGCUGAAGGAGGAUAAUAAAGUGCUCACUUUAUGAUAGAUGCUUGAACAUGGUGCAUUUUAGAAAAAUAAACUGUCCAAUUUUAAAGACCCUCAUUGUAAAAACCAUGUUAAGUCAGUAAAAAAAAAAAAUAUUAGCCAGGCAUAGACUUAUUUUACGUUAAAAGUUUAAAACAAAAAUUGAUAAUUCUAUGUUGAGUUCAGUGCAGAUGCUAAUACACUCUUUCUCGUACCUCCUUGGACACACACAGUUGUUAUUUGUUUGAUGUGUGCUUCCUGUUUCUUCCAAGCUUCUUUUAAUUGUUCAGGAAGAAUAGAAUUGAAUUUUAUUUACCAGAGUGGAAGUUCAUAAUAAACAAGC
Molecule: long non-coding RNA, 10999 nt
Organism: Camelus dromedarius (Arabian camel)
Lineage: Eukaryota; Metazoa; Chordata; Mammalia; Artiodactyla; Camelidae
Exons: 33
Source: RefSeq, a predicted model, not a curated record